AUGAGAUAAAUGACCAUGGACUACUAAAGUAAGUUCGUCUCAUGGUAGCCCAGUUGCUGCUGUAAUAGGAUUCAACUUCUCUGAAUUGCUUGGAAAGAUAACUAUCUCGAAUGUUGAAGUCAGUGUUCUUCCCAAGAUUAGUGAAAUCAACAACAUAUCUGUCAUCUUUGGAAAACCUCGUGACGAUUCCAUCGGAGCAAAGGAGUGCUACAUCUCUUGGUUGGCUGAUGAGACAACUCAUGAAAGAGACAUAAUCUGUGAAGUAUUUGGAUCUCUUCUCCUGGCAUUGUUCCAAGGCUACACAGUUUAUGAGGAGGGUGCUUGUGAAGUCAUUGACUGUAAUGGAUGGAAUUUCUAGCACUUGGUUUUUGAAAUUUAUAUCCAAGAAGCUGUCUCUCUUUGUUGACUUGAACUUCGCUCCUGAUGGUCUAAGCUGUGUGACACAUUGUAUUGACUGAUCUGAUGGGCAAUAUUCAUCCAACUGAUGACAGUGAGUUACCAAGAUUGAGGAAACUAAGCUUGAAUAAACUAAGUGAAGCAAAUGCUCC
This 548-nucleotide unclassified non-coding RNA is filed under the name Hevea brasiliensis (rubber tree). Lineage: Eukaryota; Viridiplantae; Streptophyta; Magnoliopsida; Malpighiales; Euphorbiaceae. The record is from RNAcentral.